Long non-coding RNA from Perca flavescens (yellow perch), 1080 nucleotides. RefSeq lists it as uncharacterized. Lineage: Eukaryota; Metazoa; Chordata; Actinopteri; Perciformes; Percidae. The record is from RefSeq and is a predicted model, not a curated record. The transcript is spliced from 5 exons.
AAACGCUGGGUUAUUUUAAUAACCCAAUUGCUGGGUUAAGGCUGUUGGGUUAUAGGUUGGGUAGAUUUGACCCAACGUUGGGUCAAAGAUUGUGACCCAACACGAUGGGUUAAAUGAAAGCGAGGCUCGUUCUUCCGCCAUUUCUGGACAGAAGGCGCCAGGACGUCAACGACCAUAGCUGCCGGAUUCAAGUCCCAGCCCCGAACCGGCUGCCUUCAGAGCAACACAGAGCUUCUUUGGAACAAGGAGCAACAUUUAAUAUCCAUGAGAUCCUUAAGACAGCUGAUGGAAAAUGCAUGGUUAGUGGUCCUGAGGAACAGAAUCACAUAAAUAAUGAAAGACGUGCCAUGGUCCGGAUACUUGUGUCCCACUAGUUGUGUGCUUUGGAGAGAAGACGACGCAUGGUUCACCCCAGGGAGAGGGCAUAAACCCACAACAGGCUUUCUGGAAGAGCAUCUCCGUAAUGUCUGAAAAAGACUCCACUCUGGCAGACGAGUACAUUUAACAUCACAAGUGCCACAAGACACCAGAGUCAUUUUACCAGAACCAACUAGAACUCCAGAGCGGUUCAUCCAGUUGACGGAGUGACUGAAGAAUAACAUCUGGCCACAGUCCCAGGUUGGCCAACACAUGCUGGAGACUGCCAUCCAUAGGGCACAGUGGAUCCCAUCACUGGGACUACAUCAAUGCUAGACAUUAUCACAGAGUUUCCAUGCUUAGUGGACACUCCAGGCAUGGUGAGCUAGAAUCUUACAAAAUAAAAUGUUGUGUUGUGGUGCUGGGAUUGUUGUUCAAUGUCAACUUUGUGCUAAAUUUUGGGAGUUCAUCUAGACUACCGUCUUUCAGAUACCAGGACUUGAAUCAAACACUGUCAAAUUAAUGAGAGCUCAGAUUGCUAGUUGAUAGUUCAAUGCAUGAAGUUUGAGAAAUUGUGACUAUUUUGUCCGUUUAAUGAUGUGAUAAGUAGAGAUGCACCGAUUUCAACUUACUAGGCUGUUUCAAAUUUCCAAUUUUUCAUUGAGUUUGAUCUGCCGAUAUCGAUUUUAGCCGAUUCCAAUUUCAUAUUUUCUAACGACUUUC